UACAUGGGUUGUCGUCGAUUAGCACCCUAAACUAUACAAACCUACAAUCAGCCCCCCCUAACUUUCUAUCUCAUCAAUCAUCCCCACAAACUCACAAGUUCAUCGAUUGUCCACAAUUUCAUUUAAUCUGACUCAAAUCGCGUUUUGUCUUUUAAAUGGCGUUUAAAAAAAAGAUUGCCCAAUUCCAUAACCCGAUUAAUAAUAAAUCCGACCCUACAACUAUGACCCGAUUCCCAUUUAAAAAAGGUUUGUCGUGAAAUCUUCUUCUUCUUAAAUUAGGGUUCUAUCACUGAUUUGGGGAAACUGAAAUCGCGACCAUGGAGCAAGCGAAAUCUGGGUAAGUUUUCAAGUUUUUGAAUUCUUUCUCCAUUUAUUAUAUUUAUAAGUGUUCUUAUAGUCUGUCGUUUACGUUUCUGGGAAAAAUCGAAGAUGGUGUGGAAACUUAAAAACUGAAGGUUCUUGUUCAAGGCGAAACAGAGAGUCUCAUCAGGGUGUUCCAACACGGUGCUGGUGUGGAAAUCGCAUUGCUACAUUUGUUUCGAAGACAAAGAAGAAUCCUUUUAGGAGAUUCUAUCGUUGUGAAGUCGCUAUGCAGAGAAAAGGUGAAGCUCAUCUGUUCAAGUGGGUUGACGAAGCUUUGGUUGAGGAGGUUUCUUUGGUUGAAGCUAGACAAAGAACAGUUGAAGAAGAUUUGGAAGCUUUGGUUAAGACAGAGAAAAGUGAAGAAGCAGCGGUUUUGGAGAACAAUGGAUGUCUAAGUGCCAUAACAUGGUUGUGUUGUAAAUUUUGGUAAUUGUCAGUGUUAGUAGAAUGGUUUUGUAACAAGGAUUUGUGUCAUGUGCUAGAACAUCUUUUGUAUCAACUCGGUUCAAGUUUCAGAACACUUUUCAUAUGCUUUUAAAUUCACACA
This is a long non-coding RNA of Brassica rapa (field mustard), 910 nucleotides long. RefSeq lists it as uncharacterized. The record is from RefSeq and is a predicted model, not a curated record. Lineage: Eukaryota; Viridiplantae; Streptophyta; Magnoliopsida; Brassicales; Brassicaceae.